AUUCAAGCCGCUGCCUUUUUUUUAGAUAGAACAUUUUUUUUCUUUUUUUCUACAUGCUAGAUGCACGCCAUCUAUCCUCCUGGUUAUGCGACACAUGAAAUCGUGGAUAAGCGAUACUUAUCGCAUUGAGAAGAUGGUUUCCCAACUUUAAUGUAUUCUAUAUAUAUUUCUCUAGAACAGGAUAAUUUCAUAAAUAAAUUGACUCCGCGAGGCAAUUAGAUCAUGAAGUAUUGUGUUGGUUGGGAUUGAGAAGCGACUAUUCUAUCAAUUAUUUUAAACAGCUACCAAGUGAUGAAUCAAGGCAUCUUCUCCAUCUGUUUAUUUAUUUAUUUAUUUAUUUUAUUUUUCGAUGCUCAAAGCAAUUGCUGUAUAUGCCUCUACUAUGAUUUUGCAU
This 394-nucleotide long non-coding RNA is filed under the name Elaeis guineensis (African oil palm). Its description in RNAcentral is "long non-coding RNA (EGUI_LNC001341)". The record is from RNAcentral. Lineage: Eukaryota; Viridiplantae; Streptophyta; Magnoliopsida; Arecales; Arecaceae.